AAUGGGCGAAAGCCUGAUGCAGCGACGCCGCGUGGAGGAUGAAGGUUUUCGGAUCGUAAACUCCUGUUAAGUGGGAAGAAAGUUUUGUUGUUAAUAGCAGCAGAAGAUGACGGUACCACUAGAGAAAGCACCGGCUAACUUCGUGCCAGCAGCCGCGGUAAUACGAGGGGUGCAAACGUUAUUCGGAUUUACUGGGCGUAAAGGGUGUGUAGACGGCAAAAUAAGUCGACCGUAAAAUCUCUUGGCUUAACCAAGAGUCUGUGGUUGAAACUGUUUUGCUUGAGGAUGGAAGAGAGAAGUGGAAUUCUCGGAGUAGCGGUAAAAUGCGUAGAUCUCGAGAGGAACACCGAUGGCGAAGGCAGCUUCUUGGUCCAUUCCUGACGUUGAUGCACGAAAGCGUGGGGAGCAAACAGGAUU
This 417-nucleotide ribosomal RNA is filed under the name uncultured Gammaproteobacteria bacterium. RNAcentral's name for it is "bacterial SSU rRNA". It matches the Rfam family "Bacterial small subunit ribosomal RNA", at positions 370 to 779 of the family's 1533-position model. Lineage: Bacteria; Pseudomonadati; Pseudomonadota; Gammaproteobacteria. The record is from RNAcentral.